CUCCGGGCCCCAGAGAUUGCUCUGCCCACUGGAGCCGAGUUUCGUGCACACUGGAACCCCAGCUCCCCACCCAGCCCUGGCUGAAACCACAUAAGACUGUGCGUUAUGACAUCACCUGUUUUCGGGCUGGAGAACGCGAUCAGUAUUCUCGGCUUCUGCUUUUCUUAAAGGUCGCUAGCGUACGAGGAUCCGUGAAGGCCUGCAGUUGGCAGAAUGAAUCUGUGGAGAUGAUUUACACGAAUGAUUUCACUGUGGUACAUUUCUUGAGUUAUAUUCCUGGCUUGGAAAGCAGAUUUUAUGUGAAUACAUUUUAAAGGGCCUAAGACCAGUCAGUACUACUCCGAAGGAGGAAUUAAGAAGAUGUGAUCCAAAAGGGGCUCUGCUUGAGCGCCGCUUCCCCUUCCACCCUCUCCAUCGCCCACCUCCACCAGGAAAAUUAUUCUUACCGAAGCUCAUUUUCCAAGGAACAAAUAUUCCAGCAAGAUCCUGAUUUCUGCCAGCUUUCUCUUCUAACUUCCCCUUCCAGAGUUUCCUGCAUUAAACCCUGUAGAAAGCAGAUUGCAAAGGAGAGGCCUACAGAUCUGGGUUUAUCAUUGUUUGGCCUGCAAAUGUUAGCCAGCACAGUUCUUUUUAACAUUGAAUUACUUAAAAACACUUGAUGUAGGAGAUUUUUGCCGCCACCCGCACCCCCACCCACCAACAAGUCUAGAUUUCUGGUGUCUCUUGAAAAUGGUUAGAUCUGGUUACACUGGAUGUGUACUGGUAUAUGGCCACCAUCUGCUGGAACCCAGCACCUGUUAUCUGCAUUUGGACAUGCAUUUUCAGGUUUACCAACGUCUCUGUCACUCUUCUGGGGUUCCAUUUUGCCACUUUAUACACAUUGUCUUCUUGACCUUUGUAAGGAUUUGCCAUCUCAGAACUUUCUCCGGCACUCAAAUUACUGAUCUACUGACUGAUCCUCUUAAUCAUAGAACAUGAGUUAAAAAGAAACAUGUCAUCUCUUGGCUAUAGCAGAAGUUGAGGAAAAGGAUCCAAUGUAAAGAAUAUCAUGAUAUGCAGUUGCCUGGGUGAUAGUACAUAAGGGAUGGAUUGCAAAGUGGCCUGAGGAAUCUUUUGCUGGUUGUGGAAAUGAUAUGUAUCUUGAUUGUGCUAAUACUUUCAUGGGUGUA
Bos taurus (domestic cattle) is the source of this 1169-nucleotide long non-coding RNA. Lineage: Eukaryota; Metazoa; Chordata; Mammalia; Artiodactyla; Bovidae. The record is from Ensembl.